RNAcentral lists this unclassified non-coding RNA (299 nucleotides) under uncultured bacterium. Its description in RNAcentral is "partial contains 16S ribosomal RNA and 16S-23S ribosomal RNA intergenic spacer region". It matches the Rfam family "Bacterial small subunit ribosomal RNA", at positions 69 to 355 of the family's 1533-position model. The record is from RNAcentral.
ACAGAGAAGGAGCUUGCUCCUUUGACGUUAGCGGCGGACGGGUGAGUAACACGUGGGCAACCUACCUUAUAGUUUGGGAUAACUCCGGGAAACCGGGGCUAAUACCGAAUAAUCUGUUUCACCUCAUGGUGAAACACUGAAAGACGGUUUCGGCUGUCGCUAUAAGAUGGGCCCGCGGCGCAUUAGCUAGUUGGUGAGGUAACGGCUCACCAAGGCGAGGAAGAGUAGCCGACCUGAGAGGGUGAUCGGCCACACUGGGACUGAUACACGGCCCAGACGACUACGGGAGGCAGCAGUCC